AUACUUACCUGGCAGGGGAGACACCAUGAUCAGGCAGGUGGUUUUCCCAGGGCGAGGCUCAUCCCUUGCACUCCGGGUGUGCUGACCCCUGCGAUUUCCCCAAAUGCGGGAAACUCGACUGCAUUAUUUAUUUUUUUUCUUUUUUAGGGCAA
This 152-nucleotide small nuclear RNA is filed under the name Apaloderma vittatum (bar-tailed trogon). RNAcentral describes it as "U1 spliceosomal RNA". It matches the Rfam family "U1 spliceosomal RNA". From Rfam's summary of the family: U1 is a small nuclear RNA (snRNA) component of the spliceosome (involved in pre-mRNA splicing). Its 5' end forms complementary base pairs with the 5' splice junction, thus defining the 5' donor site of an intron. There are significant differences in sequence and secondary structure between metazoan and yeast U1 snRNAs, the latter being much longer (568 nucleotides as compared to 164 nucleotides in human). The record is from Rfam by way of RNAcentral. Lineage: Eukaryota; Metazoa; Chordata; Aves; Trogoniformes; Trogonidae.